This is a non-coding RNA of Rattus norvegicus (Norway rat), 69 nucleotides long. Lineage: Eukaryota; Metazoa; Chordata; Mammalia; Rodentia; Muridae. The record is from Rfam.
GGGGAUUUGGCUCAGUGGUAGAGCGCUUGCCUAGGAAGCACAAGGUCCUGGGUUCAGUCCCCAGCCCUG